Long non-coding RNA from Cygnus olor (mute swan), 6263 nucleotides. RefSeq lists it as uncharacterized. The record is from RefSeq and is a predicted model, not a curated record. Lineage: Eukaryota; Metazoa; Chordata; Aves; Anseriformes; Anatidae. The transcript has 2 exons.
AAAAAAACAGAAGAGAAAAACAUUUCAUGUGUUCCAAGAUUUAGCAAUAAACUCAGACUUUUAAUCUCUCUGGUGUCCCUCUUCAUAUCCCACCCCUCCAACAGCACCACCCAUUUACAUCCACUGACCGACUUAUCAACUAAAGCUGCAAGCUUGUCCACGAACACAACCUUUCUAAAUCAGAGCACGUGUGAUUCCUAAAGAUGACUCAAAACUCUCGGAGGAGCUUGCAUGGGGUUUCCAGGUAGCCAUCUUUCAGCACCUGAUGAAAGAAAACCACAGAAAACUAAAGUUCUGCAUUGAUUUGAACAAGCAGAUAAAGAAAAAAAAAAUCCCAUCAAACUGAGUGCUUGGACUCAUUUGUUUACAGAGAGGAAAAUAUGGCAAGCAGUGGCUCCACCUGAGCUCAUGGGCAACUGUAAAAAGAUUUCUUGAAAAGGAAGUUAGUGAAGCUUAUAAAAAGCUGUUUAUCAGGUGAUUCUGAACUUCUAAACAGAAGAAUGUCCCUACUAGAAACAGCCAACACCAGCAACAGCACAGAGACCUGCACUGUCAUCAUACGUGCCACGUGUUACAAAAUUAAUUACCCUCUAACACCCUCCCUAUUACAUUGUGUGUGGGUAAAACAGGAACAACAUUCUUGGCCUUAAAAUCACAUUCAUUAAGGAUUAGAUUUAGCAAAGACCUAAAGAAAGAAGGGAAAAAUAAACCUCAAUAAUUGAUAGAAACCACACUAAGGGAAGCAGCUACUUUGAAUAGCAAGGAGAGGCAAACAAUCUCCCUGCAUGUUACUAACAGUACAAUUAGCAAGGUAAUGCUGUUAAAAAGAGAAAAGUGCUUCAGAGGAUUUGUAAGAGCACUGUUCUCGACCAAUUUUUUCCUCUUAAAUACUUCAGGAUAUAAAACACAGGGAAAAAAAUCCUUAUAGAGCAGGUUUUUCAGAAAGAGAAAAUUCUGUCAAAUAACUAUACUUCCCAUAUCAAAAAUACUCAGUUAAAGAGUAUGAAGUACACACCAUAAGGCCAAAAAUUAUACUCAGCAUCCCAGGCAUUAAAAGCCUUUCUACAGGAGAGAGAAGAGAGACUUUUUAACAGACUUUCCUGCGUUUGGGGUUUAUGGUUUCUUUUUUUUUUAAAAGCAAGAGUGUUAUUCACAACCAGGCUAAAUAUUGCCAAUUGCUCUGUGCAAAAGAGACUGUUUUUUAAACACAGUCCUUUGCUUCUCAGCUGGCGACAGCAAAGGGCUGCUGCUCACUGCCCACCAACUAAAGCCCAUGCAAACAAGAGGUGGGCCACCACUGAGCUUCUAAAGCAAACAGCCUGUCUUCUUGGCUGUUCUUGUUUAGUCACCCCGGUACCAGUCAUCCUUCUUGGGCAGGAUAGACUUGCGUCCUGCCAAAGUUUUUAUUUUUAAGAACACUAGCACACUGACAAUAGCACAAAGCACUCCCAUGAGCACAGCCCCAUGAAUUAAGUUGAAUUCACUGCCUGCGGACUAGAAGGGCAACUGUUAAAAAAAAUAAAAAGUCUUUAUAUCCUAGCCCAAAUAUGACUACUUGCUGUAGAUAGUCAUUCCACAUGCUCUUUUUUCUCGGUACAAAAUCCAGCCACUGAUUAACCACAAUGCACUUUCUUCAUAUGCUCUCAAGACACUGCACACCGGUGACCACUAGAUCCUUUCUGCUCCAGUUCUCCUGCCCCCUCCAGCGUACCUGCCUGUUCAUCACUGGGGCCAGAGAAAAGCCUUAAAGGACUUUAGCAAAGCCAGAGCUUCAAUAAACUCUACUGGCUCUUCAAAUCCAGAAGAGGAGCACAUCCUCAUAAAAGUGCCUCAGCAGUUAUCCAAUCCAGCCUCAGUAUAGCUAUGAAACAGGUAUGUUUUCAAGCAACUUUUAUGCAAUACUCACCAUAAGAAAUGAGGAAAAAAAAAAAAAAAAAAAAAGAAACUGACCUACAUGCCAUGCCACCCCUUCUGUUAGUAGUUGUUAGAUAUGCUACAGUUAGUAGCAGUACACACAGUGACACAACACAUAGAUCCCAUGUAAUAAGAAUCACUUUUUCAUUUCAUUUCUCCAGCUCUUCCUCUAGUAACAUGAACAGAAGAGAAAAGCCUCACUCUCCGCUUAGUCAUUACAGCUCUCCUUUGUCUUCUUUCUCUGAAAAAUAGGCCUAAGCUCAACUACUCUAUUUUUUUCUUUAAUCCUUAAUUAUUUUGUCUGAGACUUCAAGAGAGGAUUGAUUUUAAUUUCUCUGUGAAAAUAUUUUCAAUCAUAGAGAAUUUUACAGUAAAAACUGCACCUAAGCUUCAGGGCAUGGUGCACAGCUGCACAAAACCAACUGUUAAAAUUCAGAAGGUGAGAGCUCUUCAUUUACUUCUGUAAGUUCCUAUUCUCCCACGGACCUCAUUGCUGGAGAGAGUCCCAUUAAAAUGCUUCAGACCACGUUGUUAUCAUAUGCUGGUGACAAAGUUGGAAACAGCUGUACCCUUUUUUUUAAUGCAUCUGAUGAAUGCUUCCAUAUCCUUGUUUACAAUUAGUUAUUGUUAUAGAGUUCAACAAACAGAAGCUUUCUCAGAAGAGAAAACAAUGCAACAGCUAUGAGAGCAGUGGAAAACUGUCCACCAAAGAACAUCUCACCAGCCCAUCAUGGCUUACUCUUCACAACCCUAAAUCUAGCAGGAUCAAAAAGAUCUCAUACCUUAGCCAGCUAACCCUGCAAAAAGUAAAAGGGGUACUACAUGAACAGCUUAAGAGUUGCCACAGAGAAGUAACACACUGGGAAAUGCUUCAUGUUAAGACAGCUCUCUGAGACACUUUCAGCUACAGGCAUGCAUUUGCCGCAACAAAGAAAGCACCAGUUCCAGAAAGUUAAGUUUUAGGCCUGAGAAAGGCGGCAGCAUCCUCCAUGCUGUGGGAGGUUCACAAUACAGUAAAGCCAACCCAAGAGAGUUUUGUCCGCAGUGCAGUCCUACAGCCUUCUGCUCGGCCACCACUGUGGGCUAACCAGCACCAGCAUGAGGGUGAAGGAGAUCAAGGGCAGUUGUCUGCAGCACGAAGAGCAGAGAUGGCAAAAACAGGACUACCUUACUGACAGGCUCAGCACCACUAUUUCUCACAUGGGCUUUUUUUUCCCUCUUCCCUUCUCUAGAAGUGUGUUGUUCUAUUAUUUUGGUGGAUUUAACAGCUCUUUCCCCUGAAGAUGCCACCGCUGUGUUGUUUUGAUCAGGACCCUAAAGAGAGAGAACUUGGCAGAUCCAGAGGCAGACACCCAUGCUGUGCUCCUGUCUCGGCGAGGGAGCGGGGCAGAAGCCCAGGCGCUCGGUCCAAGUUCCUAGACUUCUUGUUCCCAUUCAGAAGCACAUUCUUUCACUUCAAGCGAUGCAUCUGAAAAAGCGGGUGGCCAAAAUUCACUAAGCCCUCAAUUCACUGAGCCCUCUGAUGAGUGUUGUGUUGGAAAUGCUUCAAUGUGAGGUAAGGCUGUCUUACUUGACAUAGCAAAUGGGAUUUAAUAACCACUUUACUACUGGUGAUGUUCAAAAUGUACUGAAGUCCCAAUAAAUAUGAAAUAUUUCUGUGCUUUAUCAGGAGUAAAUCAAUACCUAUUGCAGUUGUGGAACUUAACUCAUAACACACAGUUUUUUUUUUCCUGUUUAGGAUAAUUGCAUACUCUCCUCUUAUGUACAGUGUUACAUAAACAUGUCCUAAAACAAUAACCGAAACUUUUUUUAAAUUACAUAUUAAAUGGUUUCUUUCAUCUCUUUAUUCUCAUAAAAGUUUCAGUGUGGAAGCCAAAAUAAAACAGCUGCGUAAAGUGUUUUCAACUGCAAGAGACAUGUAAGAAGGUAUUUCUGCCUGUGCUGGAGGGCAUAAUCUGUAAUAACAUUUUGCCUUCCAGAUAAUGACAGGAGGCAUUAAAAGGACAACUUGCUCUCUAAUAAGCUCGCUUGACUGGUGGAGCACGCACACACAUAGAUGGCAGAGUUUUGCCAACAAUAAUUUUAAUUAAUUUUUACGUUUCAUUCUAAAUUACAUUAAUUUAUGGCCUUCCUAAAAGGCGUUUAGCUGACAGCUAAUUAAAUUCAAGCCAUUAGAUUUUAAUUAGAGAUGUUAAAAAAAAAAAAGUCUCAAAACAAUUCACACAUCUUCGUGAACGCAACAUGCUUGUUAUCAGCAACAGCAAACAAGAGACGAUUAUAAAAUCACAAGACAGCACCGCUGAAACCUGAAAACAAGCAGGCCAUGUGAAGCUUCAUGCUUUGAGGCUGGAGAUUCUGGGCAUGCCCCCUCCUCAGCCCCACUCCAGAAAACCACUCUGCACCCAUGGCUACUCUAAAAUCAAAAUCGGAGUCCAACUAACAAUGAACAUCACGACAUACACUUUAGAAGGCUGAGCUUUGCUUAAUCCUCAUUAAAUUCUAAUGAAAUUGCAGUGCCUUCUUGACCAAACAGUGAAAAAAAUUAAAGGUCCAGCUGGAGCCUCCCUUAAUAAUGCAAGUGGGAUGCUCUGAGCAGCCGAUUGCUGCUCCAGUGCAGGGCACUGGGACAUCCAACCGGACUGUCUUACUCUGCAAGCAACCUCCGUGCAGGAAAAUAAUGCUUUAUGAUUUCAAAAUGAUUGUCACCCCCCAGCCACCCUCCUCCUUACAACAGUUAUUUCUAAAUAUGGACAUGGGGGGGGGGAGGGCAGUACUUCACGAGUGAAAGCCGCAUGGGUGCUCUUUGAUAUGUUGAUCAAUUUCAGUACUGGAUAAAGAGGCUCAUAAAUAUUGAGUGGGUCGUAUUUGCAUGUGUCACCCACGGGCACAAUUUUCCCGAUGAAAAAUGAGAACAGAACCCUGACAAUUUCUCCCUUUUUGAUCGGAAGAUAUAAAAUGACCAUGAAAGUUACUUGAGCAAGGAUAGUGUAUCAGGCCAUGAGCCAGGCUCUAAAAAAAAAAAAAAAAAAAAGCGUACUGUUAAUUAUGGUGCACCAGUUUGGUUUGGACAGGUGCCCAAAAUGCUGGAGUAGACAUUUCGAAAACCUUAAAGGUUAGGAUCACACUCAGCAGCAUUUAAAUGAGUCAACGUUUCCAGAAAAUCGAGAACUAUUCGCUAUUCUUUCACAGAGGCAUUGUAACGAGAAAUCGACCCGGUUUUUAGCAGAACUGAUUUACUCUUCUCCAGGAGACGGACCGAGCCCGCAGGAGGUGCAGCAGGGCCGAGAGAAGGUGCAGGAGGCGAGGGGCAGCAUGCUUCAGAUCUGUGACUAUCAGAGGAGUUACCUGCAGUAACCACGUACCUGGAUACGACCGUUUACAUCCAUUGUGUUAUGGCACAUCACACCACCAGAGUGGAUCAAAGGAUGGAGUCUGCCUGCAUCUUUUACCAACACAGAAGAAGGGGAUGAGCAAACAGUCCUCUGAUUUUUGAGGAGACUGAAAAGAUAACAGUAAAGUGGAAAAGGCAAAAAGCAACAUCAGGCACUAGGAGACCUUAGUGGGCCAAACAAAAGCAUCACUAUUUAGAAUAUAAGCAUUUCAGGUAAACAAAAGAGUAAAUGUUGUGUUGUUAUGACAGGCUUUUGGAAGGGUUUAUAAAUUAUCCUAGCUGGUUCCACAUUAGUAAAAAAGAGUAACUAAUCCUGAGGGCUGCAAAAAAAAAUGUAGACUAAAGCUAAUAAAAUGAAUAAAGUGGCAAGAAAUAUACAAGACUGCAGCAACUGAAAAAAAAAAAAAAGAAAGCCAACAUGGAGGAGAACUUUUUAAUUAUUCCUGAUAAUGGGAGGAAUGGAACAGCCUUUCUUUAACUGAUAUGGAGUCAAUUUAGACAUCUUUUUCUUGUUUUCUAUGUCUUAUGGGUUGAGAUUUGCAAGAAGAACACAGCUGAAAACACGCUGCGUACUUCAGGCAUCAAGUGAAGAGCUACAUUUGGGUCAUCUUUGUAUUCAGUCAAAAUGAUGCCUCAGGGGCUUAUCAAUGUCUCCUAUCCUUGCUCAGAGUCUGCAGAGGACUGGUGGAUAGAUACCAGUUGCUCCCUCUUUUUCUUGCGAAGAAAAUUCACAAAGCAAAAUCAAAAUGCUCCCCUACUGAAGCAGGAGAUCUUUAUGCCCAUUCCUAGUCAGUUAGUUGUCACAUAAAUAAAUGUAGGAUGGUGAAAAUACUUAGUCAAUAACAUGUAUCUCAUAAAUGGAGGAAAAUUACAUGAUGCAUAAAAGGAUUUUCACUAAAAUCUGCCAUUUGUGAUCAGAACUAAGUUCCUCUUAACACAUAAACUUGAAAAAGAACAA